This 73-nucleotide transfer RNA is filed under the name Cordylochernes scorpioides. RNAcentral describes it as "tRNA-Thr". It matches the Rfam family "tRNA". Rfam says of the family: Transfer RNA (tRNA) molecules are approximately 80 nucleotides in length. Their secondary structure includes four short double-helical elements and three loops (D, anti-codon, and T loops). Further hydrogen bonds mediate the characteristic L-shaped molecular structure. tRNAs have two regions of fundamental functional importance: the anti-codon, which is responsible for specific mRNA codon recognition, and the 3' end, to which the tRNAs corresponding amino acid is attached (by aminoacyl-tRNA synthetases). tRNAs cope with the degeneracy of the genetic code in two manners: having more than one tRNA (with a specific anti-codon) for a particular amino acid; and 'wobble' base-pairing, i.e. permitting non-standard base-pairing at the 3rd anti-codon position. Lineage: Eukaryota; Metazoa; Arthropoda; Arachnida; Pseudoscorpiones; Chernetidae. The record is from RNAcentral.
UCUAGGGUAGCCUAGUGGACAUGGCAUCUGCCCGGUAAGCGGAACACUGUGGGUUCGAUUCCCAUCCCUAGAC